Molecule: long non-coding RNA, 665 nt
Organism: Centruroides sculpturatus (bark scorpion)
Lineage: Eukaryota; Metazoa; Arthropoda; Arachnida; Scorpiones; Buthidae
Exons: 4
Source: RefSeq, a predicted model, not a curated record
CUCCACUGCUACCUCCAGUGAGAAAGCUGGAUUUCUGCUGACCAAGGACUACUGAACUACCUUGCAUCAUUGCUAAUUGAGCAGCAUUUGGAGACAUUCCAGGUGGCGGUGGCUAUUAAAUAAAUUAAGACAUAAUAAAGAUCAAAGCCAGUCUCUCUAAUAAUUUGAGAAGCUAGUUUUAAAAUCCCUACAAAUGCAUGGAAGAAAGAUAUCAGAAAAUGGCUCACAGAGAAAGUAACUUCCUGAUUACUAUUUUGAAAAAAAUUGAGUUAUUUAAAAUUUCUUCAAAACAGAAAAAUCAUAAUUAACAAGUGUUUUCAGCAUCCAGAGAUCUUUGCAAUACUGUGCAUUAUAUUACUGUACUCGGUAAGUUAGAUUGUGCAUUGAUGUAGACUGAAUUUUUUGAGCUUAUUUUCUGUGAAUAUAAAUUCAGAAGUAUAAUCUCAGCUCAUUAAAACUUCUGUACAGAGCUUAUAUUAAAUUACUGUACUGUACAUUCAUAUUAUCUGAGAAAACACUGACAGUCUCCACCCCCUAUUAGUCCAAGUUAGUAGGAUGUUCACCAUAUAUAAAUAUAAAAAUUUAUUUUGUAUGUUUUCUACAAAGACAAAUCACUUAUAAUUGUUUUGUAUAACAAAUAAACAUUAAUAUUUUAAAAAGUAAUG